GACGAACGCUGGCGGCGUGCCUAAUACAUGCAAGUUGAGCGAUGAAGAUUGGUGCUUGCACCAAUUUGAAGAGCAGCGAACGGGUGAGUAACGCGUGGGGAAUCUGCCUUUGAGCGGGGGACAACAUUUGGAAACGAAUGCUAAUACCGCAUAACAACUUUAAACAUAAGUUUUAAGUUUGAAAGAUGCAAUUGCAUCACUCAAAGAUGAUCCCGCGUUGUAUUAGCUAGUUGGUGAGGUAAAGGCUCACCAAGGCGAUGAUACAUAGCCGACCUGAGAGGGUGUUCGGCCACAUUGGGACUGAGACACGGCCCAAACUCCUACGGGAGGCAGCAGUAGGGAAUCUUCGGCAAUGGACGAAAGUCUGGCCGAGCAACGCCGCGUGAGUGAAGAAGGUUUUCGGAUCGUAAAACUCUGUUGGUAGAGAAGAACGUUGGUGAGAGUGGAAAGCUCAUCAAGUGACGGUAACUACCCAGAAAGGGACGGCUAACUACGUG
Molecule: ribosomal RNA, 497 nt
Filed under: uncultured bacterium
Lineage: Bacteria
Description: partial 16S ribosomal RNA
Rfam family: Bacterial small subunit ribosomal RNA
Source: RNAcentral